Molecule: ribosomal RNA, 370 nt
Filed under: uncultured bacterium
Lineage: Bacteria
Description: bacterial SSU rRNA
Rfam family: Bacterial small subunit ribosomal RNA
Source: RNAcentral
GAUGAACGCUAGCGGCAGGCUUAAUACAUGCAAGUCGAGGGGCAGCACGGUUAGCAAUAACUGGUGGCGACCGGCGCACGGGUGCGUAACACGUAUACAAUCUACCUUAAACAGGGGGAUAGCCUUUCGAAAGAGAGAUUAAUACCCCGUAAUAAAUUGAACGGCAUCGUUUGAUUUUUGAAAGCUCCGGCGGUUUGAGAUGAGUAUGCGUCUGAUUAGCUAGUUGGUGAGGUAACGGCUCACCAAGGCGACGAUCAGUAGGGGAUCUGAGAGGACUAACCCCCACACUGGUACUGAGACACGGACCAGACUCCUACGGGAGGCAAGCAGUAAGGAAUAUUGGUCAAUGGAGGCAACUCUGAACCAGCCA